Molecule: ribosomal RNA, 551 nt
Filed under: Bifidobacterium longum subsp. suillum
Lineage: Bacteria; Bacillati; Actinomycetota; Actinomycetes; Bifidobacteriales; Bifidobacteriaceae
Description: bacterial SSU rRNA
Rfam family: Bacterial small subunit ribosomal RNA
Source: RNAcentral
UUCUCCUGGAAAACGGGUGGUAAUGCCGGAUGCUCCAGUUGAUCGCAUGGUCUUCUGGGAAAGCUUUCGCGGUAUGGGAUGGGGUCGCGUCCUAUCAGCUUGACGGCGGGGUAACGGCCCACCGUGGCUUCGACGGGUAGCCGGCCUGAGAGGGCGACCGGCCACAUUGGGACUGAGAUACGGCCCAGACUCCUACGGGAGGCAGCAGUGGGGAAUAUUGCACAAUGGGCGCAAGCCUGAUGCAGCGACGCCGCGUGAGGGAUGGAGGCCUUCGGGUUGUAAACCUCUUUUAUCGGGGAGCAAGCGAGAGUGAGUUUACCCGUUGAAUAAGCACCGGCUAACUACGUGCCAGCAGCCGCGGUAAUACGUAGGGUGCAAGCGUUAUCCGGAAUUAUUGGGCGUAAAGGGCUCGUAGGCGGUUCGUCGCGUCCGGUGUGAAAGUCCAUCGCUUAACGGUGGAUCCGCGCCGGGUACGGGCGGGCUUGAGUGCGGUAGGGGAGACUGGAAUUCCCGGUGUAACGGUGGAAUGUGUAGAUAUCGGGAAGAACACC